UACGAACCGUACAAACGUUAUUCGGAAUCACUGGGCUUAAAGGGUGCGUAGGCGGCCAUGUAAGUGAGGUGUGAAAUCCCUCGGCUCAACCGAGGAACUGCGCUUCAUACUGCAUGGCUUGAGGGAGACAGGGGUAAGCGGAACUGAUGGUGGAGCGGUGAAAUGCGUUGAUAUCAGCAGGAACACCGGUGGCGAAAGCGGCUUACUGGGUCUCUUCUGACGCUGAGGUACGAAAGCUAGGGGAGCGAACGGG
Molecule: ribosomal RNA, 253 nt
Filed under: uncultured bacterium
Lineage: Bacteria
Description: partial 16S ribosomal RNA
Rfam family: Bacterial small subunit ribosomal RNA
Source: RNAcentral